GCUAAAAAUCUAGCUCGCUCACUCGGAUGAAACUACAUAUCUAAAUAAAUAAACUAAAACAUUUUUAUAAUUUAGUACAGGAGAUAGAAUAAUUCAAUGAAGCAAUAUAAAUAGUACCGUAAGGGAAAGAUGAAAUAAAAAUGAAAAGCUCUAAGCACAAAAAAAUAGAGAUUAACUCUCGUACCUUUUGCAUCAUGGUUUAACUAGUCUAACCAAGCAAAAAGCAUUAUAGUUUGACUUCCCGAAACUAAGCGAGCUACUUCGGAGCAGCCUCCUGGGCACACCCGUCUCUGUUGCAAAAGAGUGGGAUGACUCCCGAGUAGCGGCGAUACACCUAACGAGCUUAGUGAUAGCUGGUUACUCGAGAAAUGGAUUUUAGUCCCGCCUAAAGCUUCCCCAACUUACACUAAAACCACAUCCCAAGCUUUAGAGUAAAUCAAAUAAGGUACAGCCUAUUUGAUACAGGAAACAACCUAAACUGAUGGGUAAAACAAUUUAUGUAUUAUCUUAGUAGGCCUAAGAGCAGCCACCUAAAAAAGCGUCACAGCUUUGCUAAACUAACCCUAUAAUACCACUUCAAAUUUUAAACCCUCUACUCCUAUCGAGUAAUUCUAUACUUUAUAGAAAUCUUUAUGUUAAAACGAGUAACAAGAAGCCAAACCUUCUCUUAAGUGCAAGCAUAAUUCAGACAGGAUAAACCACUGAUAAUUAACGCCCCUGAGCAUGUAUUAGUAACCUAACAAGAAAAACCUCAUAUUUUAUGCGUUAAUCUAACACAAGAGCACCCCAAGAAAGAUUUAAAGAAAAAGAAGGAACUCGGCAAAUACUAACCCCGCCUGUUUAUCAAAAACAUCGCCUCUUGCCUAAAAAUAAGAGGUCCAGCCUGCCCAGUGACACAUGUUCAACGGCCGCGGUAUCCUAACCGUGCGAAGGUAGCGUAAUCACUUGUUCUUUAAAUGAGGACUAGUAUGAAUGGCAUCACGAGGGUUAUACUGUCUCCUUUUUCUAAUCAGUGAAACUAAUCUCCCCGUGAAGAAGCGGGGUUAAAACUAUAAGACGAGAAGACCCUAUGGAGCUUUAAAUUUCCACUCAAAUGCUUACCAGUCUUUAAACUUCUUAGUAUAAUUAAAAACUAUCUUAACAUUAUGAGCCAGAAUUUUAGGUUGGGGUGACCGCGGAGUACAAAUUAACCUCCACAUUGAAACAGGCUUAUAAACCCUGAGCAACGGACAACAAUCCCAUGCACUAAAAAAAUAACAUCCAUUGACCCAAAUUUUUGAUCAACGAACCAAGUUACCCUAGGGAUAACAGCGCAAUCCUCUUCAAGAGUUCCUAUCGCCAAGAGGGUUUACGACCUCGAUGUUGGAUCAGGGUGUCCCAGUGGUGCAGCCGCUACUAAUGGUUCGUUUGUUCAACGAUUAAAACCCU
Molecule: ribosomal RNA, 1428 nt
Filed under: Scinax proboscideus (Gran Rio snouted treefrog)
Lineage: Eukaryota; Metazoa; Chordata; Amphibia; Anura; Hylidae
Description: partial 16S large subunit ribosomal RNA
Rfam family: Bacterial large subunit ribosomal RNA
Source: RNAcentral